UACAGAGGGGGCAAGCGUUAUUCGGAAUUAUUGGCGUAAAAGGGCGCGUAGGCGGGCGCGGGCAGUCAACGGUGAAAGCUCGGGGCGUCAACUCCGAGUCGGCUGUCGAUACUCCCCGUGGCUCGAGCACUGUAGAGGGCAAGGUGGAAUUCCGGGGUGUAGCGGUGGAAUGGCGUAGAGAUCCGGAAGAACACCGGGUGGCG
Molecule: ribosomal RNA, 203 nt
Filed under: uncultured bacterium
Lineage: Bacteria
Description: partial 16S ribosomal RNA
Rfam family: Bacterial small subunit ribosomal RNA
Source: RNAcentral